CCUGGACUCAGCUGGGGCUGGGCGGCUUCUCCCUUCCCUGAACUCGCCAUCUGUUCCAGCCCCCCAGCCCCCUGCCUAGCAGCCAUGGGUAGGUCACUGCCCUCACCUGGGGUCACCCCUUCCUCCCCGGAGAGCUCUGACAGAUAUCCUGGAACCUGAAGUGGAUCCUUCAUGCCCCAUCCUGAAUCCCAAAGCCACCUUCCUGAGGUGUUGAAGAAGCUGCUCCACCUUGGAACUACU
This 240-nucleotide long non-coding RNA is filed under the name Homo sapiens (human). RNAcentral describes it as "HSALNT0178006". Lineage: Eukaryota; Metazoa; Chordata; Mammalia; Primates; Hominidae. The record is from RNAcentral.